ACAAAGUAGUCAUGCAAGUUUGAACCAAAGGCUCAACAUCAUUCUGACCAAAUUCGAACUUAUGAGCUACACGCUCCAAAUGCUCAACUGCAAUCCUUGAAGCCAUUUCAUACCCUUCUGCAAUCCGAAUAGGAUGAAUGCCACGUUCUAACAACUUCUCAGCUUGUUCUAGGAGUGCCCCAGCCAUGACAACAACUCCAGUGGUUCCAUCACCGAUUUCAUAAUCCUGACUUCGUGACAACUCAACCAUUAACUUCCCAAUCUGAUUGUCAACAUCCAUCUGCUCCAAAAUGGUGGCACCAUCAUUUGUGAUGGUGACAUCGCCGUCAGGGCUCUGAAGCAUCUUAUCCAUGCCUUUAGGACCAAGUGAGGUACGUAAAAUACGUGCAACAGCUUUUCCGGCGGAAAUGUUGGCCUUCUGAGCAUCGAGGCCUCUUAAUCUGGUUUUUUGUUCUUGCUCCCUUAGUAUUAUAAACGGCCUUCCGAAUUCAUCGAAAGCUAACGCCAUUGUUCACUGUGACCUGCUUCCGGUCAGAUCGGUAAAUAAUAAUCUCCGGCGACAGUGACAGAGAGAGUUGUUUUAUGAAUCUA
RNAcentral lists this unclassified non-coding RNA (591 nucleotides) under Hevea brasiliensis (rubber tree). Lineage: Eukaryota; Viridiplantae; Streptophyta; Magnoliopsida; Malpighiales; Euphorbiaceae. The record is from RNAcentral.